RNAcentral lists this transfer RNA (73 nucleotides) under Spirochaetaceae bacterium. Its description in RNAcentral is "tRNA-Ala". It matches the Rfam family "tRNA". Rfam says of the family: Transfer RNA (tRNA) molecules are approximately 80 nucleotides in length. The record is from RNAcentral. Lineage: Bacteria; Pseudomonadati; Spirochaetota; Spirochaetia; Spirochaetales; Spirochaetaceae.
GGGGGAUUAGCUCAGUUGGUAGAGCGCUAGGUUCGCAAUUUAGAGGUCGGGGGUUCGACUCCCCCAUUCUCCA